AGUACGCGCUUGCAGCCGAGAGUGCUUCUUCAUAUGAAAUUAGAUAUGAAUAUUGAUUCAUUUUAAAAAUGUGUUUCUAUUUCUACCGCUUAAUGCGACGUAAUUUUUUGGCAGAGAAAAAACUGAGAGUUAUGGCUUUUACAUAUAAAAUAACGAGAUGAGAAGAGGGAUUGGUUCAGUAAUACACAAAUCUAACUUUAUUCACAUUUUUUUUUGUUGUUUUCUUUUCCGCUGAAUCAUCGAAGAAAUGAUCUUGAGAGAACAGAACCUCUGCGAUACGAAUAGCAAUUACAAGUAAAUAUGUACAAUAAUAUAUAAUAAAUGAUGGUUGCCCUUCUUUUUUUCUUUCUCUUCCUCAACAGUCGUCUUACUUCGCUCAA
Camponotus floridanus (Florida carpenter ant) is the source of this 380-nucleotide long non-coding RNA. RefSeq lists it as uncharacterized. The record is from RefSeq and is a predicted model, not a curated record. Lineage: Eukaryota; Metazoa; Arthropoda; Insecta; Hymenoptera; Formicidae. The transcript is spliced from 2 exons.